Molecule: long non-coding RNA, 1325 nt
Organism: Hemibagrus wyckioides
Lineage: Eukaryota; Metazoa; Chordata; Actinopteri; Siluriformes; Bagridae
Exons: 3
Source: RefSeq, a predicted model, not a curated record
GUGGCUGAAACAGAGCAGGAGAUUCAAAUCUAACUGGAACACUCAGGAGGAUAUUGGACAACACAUAAAGCUCGUUUUAUGUCAUACGAGAUGAAGCAGAAGCUCUUGUGCACUUUAUCACGGAGCACGUGCACCCUACUCUCUUCACUCCCAUACACAGUCACCAAAUCGCUCCAUAUUUGCAUAAACCUUUCUCAAGUGGACACGCCCACAUCUAGUCACGCCCACAACGGUCAUCAGCUCUCAGUGAAAUCGAAAGAUCUCUGGUUGCUGUAUGUGUGAACGCAGCAUUCAGCAUUAUGUCGAAUAAAUUGGAUUGGAUUCAAUGCACGAUCCCAGCAUUCUGGAUCAUAAGAUGCAGUGCUUUCGAAUCCGUCGUCAAAACCCUUGAAACACCUAAGUGUAAUCUGUCUUCCUGAGCCAUAGCGCAGCCCGUGUGGGAUUGGAUCGAUCUGGCAUGGAAGAGAAGCUCAAGGUCACACUGAUGUGCUGGCAGACGAGGCCACACCUCACCUGCAGAGCCGGUCUCAUCUCCUCCACUGUGAACAACGAGCCGUGAUCGUAUGAGACGCUCUGACCCUCCCCACCGACUCCAUCUGGAGAAAACCAAAAAAAGGGGUUCCUUAUCCAGGCGAGAUGUGUAUCUGAUUAAACCUCCUAAUCUCUGUUGUCACGCCUGAUAAAAUGGGUUUAUCCCAGAGGCGCUGGAGAAUCUGAUUAAGAGACGGCGGUACGAGGACACGGGCGGUGUCGAGACUUGACCUCGUGUCCCAAGAGCAUCAAAAAUCACCGAGAUUUGUCUGAGAAGCGGCUUGUGGACGAGGACGAGAGCAGUGAGUGGGCUGCUAGCUUAAUGUCGACGUACUGCAUGUGUCAGCUUACUAGAGUGAGUAUUCUAGACUCCUUCCCCUUCGGUAGCAGGGUCAGAGACAUGUCUGGUUAGGUGAUACGUCAGGAUUUUCAGUGGGGUUAUCAUGGAUACAUUAAAAUAUAAAUGUGGUCCUGUUCUUAGUUAGGUUGAUUCUGGAUGGAUGGAUGGAUGGAUAGAUAUAUAGACAGACAGACAGACAGACAGACACUUUAUUGAUCCGGAAGGAAAUUCCAGAUAUCCAGUAGCUAUAGAGACAGUAACAAAAAGACAGGUUGUAGAUAGAGAGAUGGAUGGAUGGAUGGGUAGGUAGGUAGAUCAGAAGACUGGUUUAAGCUCACAACUUAAAAUAAUCACUUAUACAACUGUGGUGAGCAGAAAAGCAUCAAACUCUGAGGCAGAAGAUCACACUAUCAGCCAUGAACAUGAACCUGAGAUUUCACCUGGCCUGCUGAAU